Hippopotamus amphibius kiboko is the source of this 109-nucleotide small nucleolar RNA. RefSeq annotates it as small nucleolar RNA SNORA67. The transcript has a single exon. Lineage: Eukaryota; Metazoa; Chordata; Mammalia; Artiodactyla; Hippopotamidae. The record is from RefSeq and is a predicted model, not a curated record.
GUCCAAGGGGAUUCCCUCUUCCAAGGGGCCUACUCGUGCCCCGCUCCAGGAAAGCGGCAACGUGGGAUGAAACCAGGUGUCCCCUGCCUUCCUCUGGCUGCCUACCUGC